RNAcentral lists this long non-coding RNA (475 nucleotides) under Equus caballus (horse). Its description in RNAcentral is "lncRNA (ENSECAG00000041870.2)". Lineage: Eukaryota; Metazoa; Chordata; Mammalia; Perissodactyla; Equidae. The record is from RNAcentral.
GGAAGUUAAAUGAUUUGCCUGAAAACUGCCACCUCACAGGAUUGAGAAUAAAAAUGAGCUCCCCGCUUAUCUGUGAGUACCACUUAAAUUUGCAGCCGUGGGUUGCCAGGAGGGACCGUUGCCCAAGGUGCUGCCUUUAAGAAGGGAAUCUUCAUCAACUGUGUUUCUGUUGGGGGCCAGAUAUGUACGUAUGUAGAGCAGAAGUAAACUGCAAGUUCCAAGAGGGCAAGGAUGCCUUGUUUAUGCCCAGAAUCUACCACAUACGUACACUCCAUAACUAUUUGUGGAAAGAGUGAAUGAAGUUAUCCAUCAAGUUGAGACUGGGUGAUUUAAAAACAGCCAGCAGGGGGUACAGCUGCCAAUAGCCCAAGAUCAUCCAAACGAAAGAGAGAGCCUCUGUCUAUCUUACAUUUGGAGAAAUCUGGGAAAGGAUUCAAACUGGUCAGGUAAACAUUUUCUCUCCUGAAGAGUCUUG